Phyllostomus discolor (pale spear-nosed bat) is the source of this 108-nucleotide small nuclear RNA. NCBI's taxonomy places the organism in Eukaryota, Metazoa, Chordata, Mammalia, Chiroptera, Phyllostomidae. The record is from RefSeq and is a predicted model, not a curated record.
GGGCUCGCUUUGACAGCACAUAUACUAAAAUUGGAACACUGCUGAGAGGAUUAGUGUAGACCCCUGCACAAGGAUGGCACACAAAUUCGUGAAAUGUUCGAUAUUUCA